CCUACGGGAGGCAGCAGUCGAGAAUCUUCCGCAAUGGGCGCAAGCCUGACGGAGCGAUGUCGCGUGAUGGAUGAAGAGCUUCGGUUUGUAAACAUCUUUUAUGCGGGAAGAACGUUGACGGUACCGCAUGAAUAAGGGGUUGCUAAACUCGUGCCAGCAGCAGCGGUAAUACGAGUACCCCGAGCAUUAUCCGGAAUUAUUGGGCGUAAAGGGUGAGUAGGUGGUGCAAUUAGUCGAGUGUUAAAUUCCAGAGCUUAACUUUGGAUCCGCACUCG
This 275-nucleotide ribosomal RNA is filed under the name uncultured bacterium. RNAcentral's name for it is "partial 16S ribosomal RNA". It matches the Rfam family "Bacterial small subunit ribosomal RNA", at positions 338 to 629 of the family's 1533-position model. The record is from RNAcentral.